Molecule: long non-coding RNA, 2188 nt
Organism: Spinacia oleracea (spinach)
Lineage: Eukaryota; Viridiplantae; Streptophyta; Magnoliopsida; Caryophyllales; Amaranthaceae
Exons: 3
Source: RefSeq, a predicted model, not a curated record
UUAACAUGGUAUCAAGAGCCCUAGGUUUUUCCUUUAGAUCCAAAAACCCCAAAAUCUGAUAGGUUUUAAUAUUGCAAAUUGCCGUCGCAAGAUCACGUAAUUGUUCCAAAUUGCAAAUCAGUUUUGUUAAUCAGACUGUUCUUUAGCAAUUACAUGAUACCAUAUUAUUGACAAUUAUUUGCAGUUAUCAUUCCCAAAAGUCAACUCUUUUGAAUCUCUUUUAUUUCAGCUUCCGCUAUUAUCUAUUCACUCAUUGUUUUUUUCAAUUGAUGGAUCACACGGCUUCAUUACCCACGUCGGUCUUGGAUGUUCCGGCAUCCCCAGCCACCCCUGCGCAAGGUACUACACCUUUGCAGCAACUCCCUGGAAACCACCGACCACUACAUUCCGAUUCGCAGCCAGCCUCUGUAACUGGCGCACCACCCACCUUCCCGUGGCAGCCGACAACCACCACCACGCCACGCCCCUUAUUUGAGGGACAACCAAUUCCGUCCGUUCACGGUGGUUUUGUCUCUGGCGAUGUUGGCAGUGGUCUCGAUGCAGCAGCGGGAUGUCUCAACUCUAUGCGUUUUGGCUCGUAUAGAGACUCGGGUCAGUUGCCUCACAACCAAGGACACACGCAAGGAGUUUUUGGUGGUCCCACAUUCGUGGGUAGUCACGGGCUGUCCCCGCCCGUCUCCACACCGAGUGGUUUUGGCCCUCCACACCGAGUGGCUUUUAUCCUUACAGUCCGAAUUUGUCUCAAUUGUCUGGAAAUUUGGUAACUGCGACAUCUAAUGUUAAAAAUAUAGUUACUAUUGUUCUUACUACUGUUGAAAAUUAUUUACCAUGGCGUACGCAGUUUGAAUCUUUUUUGGUUUCUCAUGGUCUGUUAGGCUUCAUUGAUGGUUCUAUUACUAUGUCGAAUAUGUUUGUGAUUGAUAAUCAAAACCGUCAAACUAUGAAUCCUGAUAAUUAUCAUUGGCUAAGAAUAGAUCAAACUAUACGUUGUUGGUUAUUUGCGACUUUGUCUCAAGAUAUGCUUGUUGGGGUGCAUGAAGUUAAAUUUUCGCAUUUGCUUUGGGAGAGACUUCACUCUCGUUUUAUGCAUGCUAGUAUGGCCCGCUCUAUGGAGUUGAAAACUUUGUUACAACAUGUUGCUAAGCAAGAAUCUCAAUAUAUGGAGUCAUAUUUGCGUGAAGUGAAAAUUCUAGCUGAUUCUCUGGCUGCGAUUUAACUCUUCAGUUUCUACUCAUGACUUGAUUUUGCACACUGUGAUGGGCCUUGGUCAAGAUUAUGAUGCUGUGACAAGUCAAUUUCUACAUUUUAAUGGUCACAUUCCUUUUACUGAUGUUCGUCGGGCAUUGUUAAGUCACGAACAACUUAUUAAAGGUCGUCAGGCUAGGGAACAAGGUUUUGCCACACAUCAGGCAUUCUUGGCAAGUACUCGUUCUGUCUCGAAUAGAUCGGACAACAACUCCACUUCCUCUACUACAAGGAACAAUUCUAAGGGAUCCCGUAGCAACAAUGGGGGUCGUGGGGGUGGAAAAGGCUGUGAAAAAGGUCAUGGUGGUCGUGGAAAAGGCCGUGGUGGGGUGCAAACCAAACACAAGCCCAAACACAAAAUUCAGGAGGGAAUUCUAAUGCAGAGGGUGUGUUUGGUCCUAGUCCUACCAAUAUAGUCUGUCAAAUCUGUUUCCAUCCAGGUCAUUCCGCAAUUGCUUGCCCAUCUCGUUAUUCUCAGAAUUCGAAUGCCGCUCUUGCUAGUUUUCCCACAAGAGAGCAUAAUGAGACUACUUGGUUUCCUGAUUCCGGAGCAUCUUCUCACAUGACUAACGACCUCGGACAACCAGUCGGGGGAGGUGCUUCUCAAAGCUUCUAGUCAAGGCAGUGUCUAUCCAAUCACCCUCACCAACCAACCUAGGAGAUCAGUUGCUUUUGCCUCAAUCACAGCUCCAGGUCCUACGUGGCAUCGUCGUCUUAGUCAUUGUGGUGAUAGAGUAUUAGGUGCUCUUAAGAGCAAUAAGGCAAUUGUUUGUGCCAGUAGUAAUGUGUUUGAUUGUGUUUCAUGUUGCUUAGUAAAGUCUCAUAGGCUACCUUUCCAGGAUGUAAUGCACUCGUUUGAUAAACCUUUGCAAUUAGUUAUUUGGAUUUGUGGCAAUCGCCUGUUUUGUCUAACCUUGGUUUUAAAUAUUAUGUUUUCAUUGUU